This 749-nucleotide ribosomal RNA is filed under the name uncultured archaeon. RNAcentral's name for it is "bacterial SSU rRNA". It matches the Rfam family "Archaeal small subunit ribosomal RNA", at positions 102 to 856 of the family's 1478-position model. The record is from RNAcentral.
GGACAAUCUGCCCUGAAGAAGAGAAUAAUCCCGGGAAACUGGGGGUAAUGCUCUAUAGUCCGGGAGGACUGGAAUGUUCUCCGGAUGAAAGAUCCGUCGCUUCAGGAUGAGUCUGCGGCCGAUUAGGUAGUUGUUGGGGUAAAAGCCCAACAAGCCCGUAAUCGGUACGGGUUGUGGGAGCAAGAGCCCGGAGAUGGAUUCUGAGACACGAAUCCAGGCCCUACGGGGCGCAGCAGGCGCGAAAACUUUACAAUGCGGGCAACCGUGAUAAGGAAACCCCGAGUGCCAGCACAGGCUGGCUGUCCGCCAGUGUAAAAAACUGGUGAAGAAAGGGCCGGGCAAGACCGGUGCCAGCCGCCGCGGUAAUACCGGCGGCUCGAGUGGUGGCCGUUUUUACUGGGCUUAAAGGGUCCGUAGCUGGAUCCGCAAGUCCCUUGAGAAAUCCAUCGGCUUAACUGAUGGGCGUUCAGGGGAUACUGCGGUUCUAGGGACCGGGAGAGGUGAGAGGUACUGCCGGGGUAGGAGUGAAAUCCUGUAAUCCCGGUGGGACGACCUAUGGCGAAGGCAUCUCACCAGAACGGCUCCGACAGUGAGGGACGAAAGCUGGGGGAGCAAACCGGAUUAGAUACCCGGGUAGUCCCAGCUGUAAACGAUGCGCGUUAGGUGUGUCAGUGACCACGUGUCACUGAGGUGCCGAAGGGAAACCGUGAAACGCGCCGCCUGGGGAGUACGGUCGCAAGGCUGAAACU